AGUGAACGCUGGCGGUAGGCCUAACACAUGCAAGUCGAACGGCAGCACAGUAAGAGCUUGCUCUUACGGGUGGCGAGUGGCGGACGGGUGAGGAAUACAUCCGAAUCUACUUUUUCGUGGGGGAUAACGUAGGGAAACUUACGCUAAUACCGCAUACGACCUACGGGUGAAAGCAGGGGAUCUUCGGACCUUGCGCGAUUGAAUGAGCCGAUGUCGGAUUAGCUAGUUGGCGGGGCAAAGGCCCACCAAGGCGACGAUCCGUAGCUGGUCUGAGAGGAUGAUCAGCCACACUGGAACUGAGACACGGUCCAGACUCCUACGGGAGGCAGCAGUGGGGAAUUUUGGACAAUGGGCGCAAGCCUGAUCCAGCCAUACCGCGUGUGUGAUGAAGGCCUUCGGGUUGUAAAGCCCUUUUGUUGGGAAAGAAAAGCAGCAGGUUAAUACCCCGCUGUUCUGACGGUACCCAAAGAAUAAGCACCGGCUAACUUCGUG
Molecule: ribosomal RNA, 492 nt
Filed under: uncultured bacterium
Lineage: Bacteria
Description: partial 16S ribosomal RNA
Rfam family: Bacterial small subunit ribosomal RNA
Source: RNAcentral